UACGGGGGGGGCAAGCGUUGUUCGGAAUUACUGGGCGUAAAGGGCUCGGAGGCGGCCAACUAAGUCAGACGUGAAAUCCCUCGGCUUAACCGGGGAACUGCGUCUGAUACUGGAUGGCUUGAGUUUGGGAGAGGGAUGCGGAAUUCCCGGUGGAGCGGUGAAAUGCGUAGAGAUCGGGAGGAACACCAAAGGCGAAAGCACUCUGCUGGGCCGCAACUGACACUGAGAGACGAAAGCGAGGGGAGCAAAUGGG
This 253-nucleotide ribosomal RNA is filed under the name uncultured bacterium. Its description in RNAcentral is "partial 16S ribosomal RNA". It matches the Rfam family "Bacterial small subunit ribosomal RNA", at positions 524 to 776 of the family's 1533-position model. The record is from RNAcentral.